GUCUUCGUGGUGUAACGGUAGCAUAUUCGGCUCGUAUUCGAGAAGUUCAGGUUCGAGUCCUGGAGAGGGAA
RNAcentral lists this transfer RNA (71 nucleotides) under Stegodyphus mimosarum. It matches the Rfam family "tRNA". From Rfam's summary of the family: Transfer RNA (tRNA) molecules are approximately 80 nucleotides in length. Their secondary structure includes four short double-helical elements and three loops (D, anti-codon, and T loops). The record is from Rfam by way of RNAcentral. Lineage: Eukaryota; Metazoa; Arthropoda; Arachnida; Araneae; Eresidae.